Molecule: long non-coding RNA, 2783 nt
Organism: Metopolophium dirhodum (rose-grain aphid)
Lineage: Eukaryota; Metazoa; Arthropoda; Insecta; Hemiptera; Aphididae
Exons: 3
Source: RefSeq, a predicted model, not a curated record
CGGUUGUUACACACCGUAUAGUGUAUAUGACGUCUUGUUACACCCGGUACGGCGACGAGUGCCCGCCUUUUUUUACGACGUGCCUGAACGCAGUAGUCUGGUACAACCAAAGACGUUCGAAACGCAAACAGUUUCCCGCCGUUUAUUCAAAACAAUAAUGCUGAGUAAAAAACUAAAUUGCUGAUUUCAACAUUCUAGGAAUCUAGGAUACUGGAUAAGAAUAACUAUUUAUUUCAAUACAUACACAGUGAAACACCAAAUGUAUUCUUAUUAUAAAAAGUUGGUUGUAGACUUUUGAUUUUCAAAAAUAACAUAAGACUACUUCUAUACGAAAUACAAAUCCUAGGAUUUAAAAUAAACAAUAACAACUACCUAAAUGGCUAAUUAUGAAAUACAGACUUGGGAGGACCAUGGCACCUGCCCCCCCCCCCCAACCCUGGAGCCAUCCCUGUAACGAAGAGUAGUUUUAUGGCCCAACGCCUGUCCACGAAAUAUUGAGAUUAAAUACGAACAAACCGGUAGCGCCAUCUGUCCAGUACAAUUAAAUUAGAAAAAAUAGAAAAAAAUGUGUAAGAUGUUUUCCCUGUCGAUGCGGAUAACGCUGAGUGUUAAGAAAUAAAACAGAAGAAAAAAGAAGCACAAUUAAUUACGAAGUUAAAGAAGAAAGAGAGUUAAUUGACGGUUUGUUAUUUGAAGAAACAGUAUCUAAUGAAAGCCAUUCUUCAGAAUUCAUUACAUCUAAUUGUAGAAAAAAUCCAUAACUGAUAAAACAUCUACAGCAUCUAAUUUAACUGUGCAUAUAAGAGUACAUACCAGUGUAAAUUCUUAUAAAUGUGAUAACUGUGAUAAGGAGUUAACUAAAAAAUCCAAUUUUACCGUGCAUUCAAGGACACGUACCGGUGUAAAGCCAUAUAAAUGCGAUGUCUGUGAUAAAGCCUUCUCUCAAUUAAUCAGUCUAACAAACCAUACAAGAACACAUACCGGUGAAAAGCCUUAUAAAAGUAAUAUCUGUGAUAAGCUGUGUUUACAUCAUCAAAUUUAACAAAUGAUUCAAGGACACAUACCGGAAAAAAGGCUGUAUAAAUGUGAUAUCCGUGAUCAAACUUAUUCUCAGAAAACCAAUUUAACAACGCAUACAAAGAUGCAUGCCGAAUUUUGUUUAUACAUCACUAUUGGGCCCUAUAUUAGAUGCUUUACAUUUAGUUCUACCUAGGUACUUAAUCUGCCUACGUAUUAAAAACAGUGCUUGUAGCGAGUACGCAUGAAUGAAGUGAAACUUCUUUCAGAGUAAUUUAACGGAUAGAAUAUAUUAGGUUUAUAUUGGAAAUAAAUAAAAAAAAUAUUUAUUAACCUAGCUAAAUCAAACAAGGCAAAAUCAAACAAAUUACCAGAUCUUAACACUAAAGUCUUAACGUUUCAUUUAGCUAGGUUAAUACAUAUCAGGAAGUAAAAACGGUUUUAAAAACCGGGUCACUCGAAAAUAAUCGAAACCGUUUUCAGACACGAAAUCCGAAAUACGAAAAAUAUAAAAACCGUUUUAGACACGAAACUAAUUCAACAAAAAUUUAAAAUACCAAGACCAGAACUCACAAAAAAAAAACUGUUGUUUUUAUUCACAAUAUUGCUAUUAAUACAUCUAUAUAUAAAAAUUAAUCUUUGUUUCCCUUGGUCAUCGCAUCACGCAUCAACAGCUACACCGAUUUCGCUAAUUCUUUUUUUGCUGUGUUCAUAAUUAUCAGGAGAAAGUUCUUAUGUAAUACAAUUUUAGAAAAAUCCACCGAAAAAGUAGAAAAUUUGGAUUUCAAAAAAUACAAUAUAGUGGCGCCAUCUGUACAAAAAAAAAUAAACUAUAGUUAAUAAACUAGUGAACCAAAAUUGAUGAUUUGACUAUCAACAUUUUCAGAAAAAAAAGCUUGACCAGAAUCUUUUAAAAAUAUAGUAGUUGCCAUUUGAAAAAAUAUUGUUGAUUUUGCUACACUUUGGUACACCUGCGUGUUUAAAAAUUUUUAAAUUGUUAUGAAAAAAUUGCCUGUUAAAAAUAAAGAAACAGGUCUUUUUUCGUUUUAACGAAAUUCCAUGUCAUCGAUCCAUAAUCGUUAAAAAAACCCUGUGUACAAUGACAUAAGAUACACCCUGUAUAAUAUCUCUAUAUAUAAAAAUGAAUCCCGAUUUCCUUGGUCAUCGCAUCACGCGUGAACGGCUGGACCGAUUUUGCUAAUUUUUUUUGGUUUGUUUGUAAUUGUCAGGAGAAGGUUCUUGUGGAAUAAAAUUUUAGGAAAACCCACCAGAAAAGUAAAAAAAUUGCAUGUCAAAAAAUACAAUAGUGGCGCCAUCUGUUCAAAAAAAAGUAAACUAAAUAAUAAAAAUAUUAGUUGCAGAUUAAAAUAAAAAUAGUGUAUUGUAUAUUGCUUGCUAUUGGUUACGGACAUGUUUGUUGAUUUGUAUUAUUAUUUUUUGUCAAUAUAUAUGAAUAUCUCCUAACUAUAUAAAUAUGAAAUGAAUUCAAAUUUAAUACCAUCCAUUACAGUAACCCAUUUGUAACAUACUGUACAGCAGAGCGACAUCCACUUACUUACCCGCUUUUUUUUAAUUAGAAUUUGUAAUUCCCCUUCAAAUAACAAAAAACACAUUACAAUUUUCAUAACUCGAAAUUUGUAGUAAGUCAAAUUAUUUUUUUUUCCCGUGAGCUUUAAGUUACCGAGAGUACAUUGUAAUAGCAUUUUCUAUACAUGAUAAAAUUUUCAAAAUAUUUUUAUUUGUUUUAACUCGAUUAUUCUCGAUAA